GCUCUCAAACAAACCUCCCUUUUCGCAACCUAACGACCCACCCACCAAACCGCUGUCCUUCCUCCGCCUUUAGCUUCGCUUAGGCCGCCGCACCGCCUCCGUUCAACCUAUUUCGAUGUCGCGGACAAGUUUCCGGCUCUCGCUUUUCCGAUCGGCGAUUGUGGAAGGAGAAAUCACAAUGAACAAUGUCGAGCAUCAAGAUGGCACCUGCGUUUGCAGCCACUGAUUCUAUCGAAUUUGAUUUUGCUUCACCGAAUUCAUGAGGAAGCUUCUGCCAUUUGGGAAAUUUGAAGGUAAAAUUAUAGCUUUGAAUCUAAAUGUUGAUUUCCUUGAAUUGGUGUAGUUAAAGCAUAAAUGAUCAUAUUUUAUUCUCUGAUCUGGUUUUGCAUGCUAGCUUUUAGGAAAUAUUUACUUUGUUCUUCAUUUUCUUCUAUAGCCACUCAAAUUGGGUACUCACUUCAAGAGUCCGAGUCGAGCAUGGAGGUCAUGCUUGGGUUAUUGCAUUGCCUUAAGAGGCAAAAGCUAGAGGAGCUCAAUGAGAGACAAGCUGAUAUUGAUUACAUUAAGAAAGACAUGAUUGCGGUGGAGUGACGUAGAGUUGAGCUAUACAGCCAACAACAGGGUAAGUUAGUGAGAUUGAGGCUGCUUGGUGAUGAACAGCAGAGAAAUGACAUUGUUAUAGUGCGCAAGAUGUGCAAGUGCAUAUGAGUUCUAUCAAUUUACAUAGCAACAAGGCGGUUGUAAACAAUGUGCAAACCCAUACGAGGCAUAUGCAGCCUGUAAAUCCACAAGGAGGACUGUCGGUGGCAAGGAAAAGGCGAGUCCAUUCACAGGUUAGCAAUGUUGUGAAGUGAGUUUUUUAAUAGCCUGGCCAAUUGUUGUGGAUGUUAAAGACCUUUAGAUUAUCCACUAUAUCUUUCCUUAUCAUGUUUGUUUCCAGAACAGGACUUGUACCUUAAUGUGACAUUAGAAAUGUGUGAUGUUAAGAGUUCCUUGUUGUGGUUAGGCCGAGGAGUUCUGCACUUCAGAUAGGCUACUAGCUAAACUUUCAUAGUAUCCUGAAUCAUUAUUUGGGGCUUUUCUUUUCCUGAUUUCAUCUCUUCAUAUUGCAACAGUACAACGACCUACAAGACUGUUACUUGCAAAAGCAGCAAAAUUUGAACAAACAAAUGGAUUAUAAUGCUGUGGAUGUAGAAGGUUAUAAUCUAGGCCUUGAAGACUUCUAUUAUGUACUAAAGGGAUUUACACAAUACAUGCACAAACUUAUAAGUAUCAGUUUUAAGUAUCUCUUAGUUUACCCUGUUUAGAUAUAGAUACUUACACCUUCUAGUUGGUAUUUGGUUACUUGAACCAGUUGAUUGAGAGUCAUUUCUGAACUCAGACAGGGUGAUAUUUUCCACUCUGCAAAUAUUGUGUCGACGUGAGUGCUUAUAUCAUUCCUUCUGUACUUUUAACAUGACAUGGACUCUUAAAGGUUGGAAUGCACAUAUGUCACACAAUCUUGAAAAUAAUUGUUGGAGAGAUUCUCCUUGCAUCAGCUGGUUAUGCUACAGUCUGUUAGUGUUAUGAAUCUCAUUUUUUGAACUGUGUUACAAUGUUGGAUGAAUAGGUUGUACUUACAUGUGCACGUGUUCUUUCAGUUUUGUUCAAAUCAGUAUAUGAAGUCUUCGUUUAAAUGCCAUGUUAUAUGG
Molecule: long non-coding RNA, 1691 nt
Organism: Argentina anserina (silverweed cinquefoil)
Lineage: Eukaryota; Viridiplantae; Streptophyta; Magnoliopsida; Rosales; Rosaceae
Exons: 3
Source: RefSeq, a predicted model, not a curated record